Non-coding RNA from Nylanderia fulva, 486 nucleotides. The record is from RefSeq and is a predicted model, not a curated record. NCBI's taxonomy places the organism in Eukaryota, Metazoa, Arthropoda, Insecta, Hymenoptera, Formicidae.
AUAGACGAUAAUCACUGGAAUGAAGCGGAAGGAAUUUAGAUUAUCGAUGCAUUCGACGAAUACAUAUUUGGCAAAUUAAAUUUCCGACCGUGCAAAGUAAACGAUACAAAUCUGGAAUACAUGUACUAAAAAGUAGAUAUGGACAAGAAAUGAUUUUAAUAAUAAUAUAUCACAGCGUGGCAAGAAGACUUGGUUUUCGUUCCGACAUUAUAGGAUUCGGUGAACGAUCAGAUCUAUCCUACUGUACCUGUAUAUACUAAAAAUCAAGAUAUGGCACGAUUAAUCCAGAAAAUGAAAGAUGUUUUAGUUUAAUGUUUGAGAAAUUUCCGGAUUGUUUUGUCAAUAAACCGGAUUGGUGGAAGUUGCAGCAUUUAUUAUGUGAGGAUUUUUUACAAUGCGAAAUUGGUGGAAGUUGCAGCAUUUAUUAUGUAAAGAUUUUUUACAAUACGAAAGCUUUAAUACAAAAGUACGAUGUGAUAUGCGAAA